CCCAGACUCCUACGGGAGGCAGCAGUGGGGAAUAUUGCACAAUGGGCGAAAGCCUGAUGCAGCGACGCCGCGUGAGGGAUGACGGCCUUCGGGUUGUAAACCUCUUUCAGCAGGGAAGAAGCGAAAGUGACGGUACCUGCAGAAGAAGCGCCGGCUAACUACGUGCCAGCAGCCGCGGUAAUACGUAGGGCGCAAGCGUUGUCCGGAAUUAUUGGGCGUAAAGAGCUCGUAGGCGGCUUGUCACGUCGGUUGUGAAAGCCCGGGGCUUAACCCCGGGUCUGCAGUCGAUACGGGCAGGCUAGAGUUCGGUAGGGGAGAUCGGAAUUCCUGGUGUAGCGGUGAAAUGCGCAGAUAUCAGGAGGAACACCGGUGGCGAAGGCGGAUCUCUGGGCCGAUACUGACGCUGAGGA
Molecule: ribosomal RNA, 410 nt
Filed under: Streptomyces sp.
Lineage: Bacteria; Bacillati; Actinomycetota; Actinomycetes; Kitasatosporales; Streptomycetaceae
Description: bacterial SSU rRNA
Rfam family: Bacterial small subunit ribosomal RNA
Source: RNAcentral